AGAGUUUGAUCCUGGCUCAGAGCGAACGCUGGCGGCGGGCUUAACACAUGCAAGUCGAGCGGGCGUAGCAAUACGUCAGCGGCAGACGGGUGAGUAACGCGUGGGAACGUACCUUUUGGUUCGGAACAACACAGGGAAACUUGUGCUAAUACCGAAUAAGCCCUUACGGGGAAAGAUUUAUCGCCGAAAGAUCGGCCCGCGUCUGAUUAGCUAGUUGGUGAGGUAAUGGCUCACCAAGGCGACGAUCAGUAGCUGGUCUGAGAGGAUGAUCAGCCACAUUGGGACUGAGACACGGCCCAAACUCCUACGGGAGGCAGCAGUGGGGAAUAUUGGACAAUGGGCGCAAGCCUGAUCCAGCCAUGCCGCGUGAGUGAUGAAGGCCCUAGGGUUGUAAAGCUCUUUUGUGCGGGAAGAUAAUGACGGUACCGCAAGAAUAAGCCCCGGCUAACUUCGUGCCAGCAGCCGCGGUAAUACGAAGGGGGCUAGCGUUGCUCGGAAUCACUGGGCGUAAAGGGUGCGUAGGCGGGUCUUUAAGUCAGGGGUGAAAUCCUGGAGCUCAACUCCAGAACUGCCUUUGAUACUGAGGAUCUUGAGUUCGGGAGAGGUGAGUGGAACUGCGAGUGUAGAGGUGAAAUUCGUAGAUAUUCGCAAGAACACCAGUGGCGAAGGCGGCUCACUGGCCCGAUACUGACGCUGAGGCACGAAAGCGUGGGGAGCAAACAGGAUUAGAUACCCUAGUAGUCC
Molecule: ribosomal RNA, 744 nt
Filed under: uncultured bacterium
Lineage: Bacteria
Description: bacterial SSU rRNA
Rfam family: Bacterial small subunit ribosomal RNA
Source: RNAcentral